AAACUAGAGUUGUGGUAGUAUUGUAGUCAAUAAGGCCUAUCUGAGGCAUGAUUAUUGCUAAUUGAAAACUUUCUCAAUACCCCGCUGUGAUGACUAACAAUACAGUCAGCAUUGGCAAUUUUUGACAGUCUAUAUGGA
This 138-nucleotide small nuclear RNA is filed under the name Castor canadensis (American beaver). RNAcentral describes it as "U4 spliceosomal RNA (ENSCCNG00000026224.1)". It matches the Rfam family "U4 spliceosomal RNA". Rfam says of the family: U4 small nuclear RNA (U4 snRNA) is a component of the major U2-dependent spliceosome. The structure of U4 snRNA from yeast and human has been reported. The record is from Rfam by way of RNAcentral. Lineage: Eukaryota; Metazoa; Chordata; Mammalia; Rodentia; Castoridae.